AUACGGAGGGUGCAAGCGUUGUUCGGAAUUACUGGGCGUAAAGCGCGCGUAGGCGGCUAUUUAAGUCAGAUGUGAAAGUCCACGGCUCAACCGUGGAAGUGCAUUUGAAACUGAAUGGCUUGAGUACUGGAGGGGGUGGUGGAAUUCCCGGUGUAGAGGUGAAAUUCGUAGAUAUCGGGAGGAAUACCGGUGGCGAAGGCGACCACCUGGCCAGAUACUGACGCUGAGGUGCGAAAGCGUGGGGAGC
RNAcentral lists this ribosomal RNA (247 nucleotides) under uncultured bacterium. RNAcentral describes it as "partial 16S ribosomal RNA". It matches the Rfam family "Bacterial small subunit ribosomal RNA", at positions 523 to 769 of the family's 1533-position model. The record is from RNAcentral.